GGGUUGUGAGGUUAAGCGACUAAGCGUACACGGUGGAUGCCCUGGCAGUCAGAGGCGAUGAAGGGCGUACUAAUCUGCGAUAAGCGCCGGUAAGGUGAUAUGAACCGUUAUAACCGGCGAUACCCGAAUGGGGAAACCCAGUGUGAUUCGUCACACUAUCAUUAACUGAAUCCAUAGGUUAAUGAGGCGAACCGGGGGAACUGAAACAUCUAAGUACCCCGAGGAAAAGAAAUCAACCGAGAUUCCCCCAGUAGCGGCGAGCGAACGGGGAGGAGCCCAGAGCCUGAAUCAGCAUGUGUGUUAGUGGAAGCGUCUGGAAAGGCGCGCGAUACAGGGUGACAGCCCCGUACACAAAAGCGCAUGUGCUGUGAGCUCGAUGAGUAGGGCGGGACACGUGGUAUCCUGUCUGAAUAUGGGGGGACCAUCCUCCAAGGCUAAAUACUCCUGACUGACCGAUAGUGAACCAGUACCGUGAGGGAAAGGCGAAAAGAACCCCGGCGAGGGGAGUGAAAAAGAACCUGAAACCGUGUACGUACAAGCAGUGGGAGCACAGGUUUACCUGUGUGACUGCGUACCUUUUGUAUAAUGGGUCAGCGACUUAUAUUCUGUAGCAAGGUUAACCGAAUAGGGGAGCCGGAGGGAAACCGAGUCUUAAUUGGGCGUUAAGUUGCAGGGUAUAGACCCGAAACCCGGUGAUCUAGCCAUGGGCAGGUUGAAGGUUGGGUAACACUAACUGGAGGACCGAACCGACUAAUGUUGAAAAAUUAGCGGAUGACCUGUGGCUGGGGGUGAAAGGCCAAUCAAACCGGGAGAUAGCUGGUUCUCCCCGAAAGCUAUUUAGGUAGCGCCUCGUGAAUUCAUCUCCGGGGGUAGAGCACUGUUUCGGCUAGGGGGCCAUCCCGGCUUACCAACCCGAUGCAAACUGCGAAUACCGGAGAAUGUUAUCACGGGAGACACACGGCGGGUGCUAACGUCCGUCGUGAAGAGGGAAACAACCCAGACCGCCAGCUAAGGUCCCAAAGUCAUGGUUAAGUGGGAAACGAUGUGGGAAGGCCCAGACAGCCAGGAUGUUGGCUUAGAAGCAGCCAUCAUUUAAAGAAAGCGUAAUAGCUCACUGGUCGAGUCGGCCUGCGCGGAAGAUGUAACGGGGCUAAACCAUGCACCGAAGCUGCGGCAGCGACACUGUGUG
This 1189-nucleotide ribosomal RNA is filed under the name Salmonella enterica subsp. enterica serovar Enteritidis. RNAcentral describes it as "partial 23S ribosomal RNA". It matches the Rfam family "Bacterial large subunit ribosomal RNA", at positions 1 to 1220 of the family's 2925-position model. Lineage: Bacteria; Pseudomonadati; Pseudomonadota; Gammaproteobacteria; Enterobacterales; Enterobacteriaceae. The record is from RNAcentral.